Molecule: ribosomal RNA, 604 nt
Filed under: Gliomastix tumulicola
Lineage: Eukaryota; Fungi; Ascomycota; Sordariomycetes; Hypocreales; Bionectriaceae
Also listed under: 1 other name
Description: eukaryotic LSU rRNA
Rfam family: Eukaryotic large subunit ribosomal RNA
Source: RNAcentral
GCAUAUCAAUAAGCGGAGGAAAAGAAACCAACAGGGAUUGCCUCAGUAACGGCGAGUGAAGCGGCAACAGCUCAAAUUUGAAAUCUGGCCUCUGGCCCGAGUUGUAAUUUGCAGAGGAUGUUUCUGGCGAGGUGCCUUCCGAGUUCCCUGGAACGGGACGCCAUAGAGGGUGAGAGCCCCGUACGGUUGGUCGCUAAGCCUCUUUGAAACUCCUUCGACGAGUCGAGUAGUUUGGGAAUGCUGCUCUAAAUGGGAGGUGUACGCCUUCUAAAGCUAAAUACAGGCUAGAGACCGAUAGCGCACAAGUAGAGUGAUCGAAAGAUGAAAAGCACUUUGAAAAGAGGGUUAAAAAGUACGUGAAAUUGUUGAAAGGGAAGCGCUCUUGACCAGACUUGCGCCGGUUGAUCAUCCACCGUUCUCGGUGGUGCACUCUGCCGGCUCAGGCCAGCAUCAGUUUGGCCCGGGGGAUAAAGGCUUCGGGAAUGUGGCUCUCUCCGGGGAGUGUUAUAGCCCGUUGCGUAAUACCCUGGGCUGGACUGAGGUUCGCGCAUCUGCAUGGAUGCUGGCGUAAUGGUCAUCAGUGACCCGUCUUGAAACACGGACC